CCUACGGGGGGCAGCAGUGGGGAAUAUUGGACAAUGGGCGAAAGCCUGAUCCAGCCAUGCCGCGUGAGUGAUGAAGGCCCUAGGGUUGUAAAGCUCUUUCACCGGUGAAGCGGUAACCGGAGAAGAAGCCCCGGCUAACUUCGUGCCAGCAGCCGCGGUAAUACGAAGGGGGCUAGCGUUGUUCGGAAUUACUGGGCGUAAAGCGCACGUAGGCGGAUAUUUAAGUCAGGGGUGAAAUCCCGGGGCUCAACCCCGGAACUGCCUUUGAUACUGGGUAUCUUGAGUCCGAGAGAGGUGAGUGGAAUUCCGAGUGUAGAGGUGAAAUUCGUAGAUAUUCGGAGGAACACCAGUGGCGAAGGCGGCUCACUGGCUGGACUGACGCUGAGGUGCGAAAGCGUGGGGAGCAAACAGGAUUAGAUACCCUUGUAGUC
RNAcentral lists this ribosomal RNA (431 nucleotides) under uncultured bacterium. RNAcentral describes it as "partial 16S ribosomal RNA". It matches the Rfam family "Bacterial small subunit ribosomal RNA", at positions 338 to 795 of the family's 1533-position model. The record is from RNAcentral.